GAUGCCAGGGUCAAAAGACCUAAGCCCCAUGAGCUUGCUCAUGAGUGGGUGAAAGGCCUUGGGACCCGCCCCGAUAUGAACAUAAAAGUGGGAGGUAUAUCCCACGAUAUACGAAUAUUGGGGCGGAUUGUGGAAGUGCACAGCACGGAACAAUCCGCGAGCAU
RNAcentral lists this small RNA (164 nucleotides) under uncultured Mediterraneibacter sp. RNAcentral describes it as "Clostridiales-1 RNA". It matches the Rfam family "Clostridiales-1 RNA". Lineage: Bacteria; Bacillati; Bacillota; Clostridia; Lachnospirales; Lachnospiraceae. The record is from RNAcentral.